This 107-nucleotide small nucleolar RNA is filed under the name Gossypium hirsutum (cotton). RNAcentral describes it as "Plant small nucleolar RNA R71". It matches the Rfam family "Plant small nucleolar RNA R71". From Rfam's summary of the family: R71 is a member of the C/D box family of snoRNAs containing the C (UGAUGA) and D (CUGA) box motifs. Multiple nearly identical copies of this snoRNA have been identified in Arabidopsis, and it is thought to function as a 2'-O-ribose methylation guide for 18S ribosomal RNA. The record is from Rfam by way of RNAcentral. Lineage: Eukaryota; Viridiplantae; Streptophyta; Magnoliopsida; Malvales; Malvaceae.
AUUCCCAUAAUGAGGGCACUUUCGUAAUAACUUUUCGUAUCUUUCCCAUGCCUCAUACAAGGACUCAUCAUCCAUUUGCUGGAAGACAGUGAUCUCAUUCCUUAACU